CAUUAUUGAAUAUACUUGAUGGGUUGUAGCUGGCUCUACGGAGCAUGUGCACGCUUGUCUUGAUUCUAUUCAUCCACCUGUGCACCUUUUGUAGUCUUGGGGACUCUGAGCAAGUUGACUAUCGGAUUUGGUUCCGGAUGUGAGGAAUGCUGGCCUACAGCUUUUCUCUAUUGGCUUUCUCCCUCGAGUGCUAUGUCUUCAUAUACCACAUAGUAUGUUGUAGAAUGUGAUCAAUGGGUCUAUGUACCUAUAAUAAUCAUAAUACAACUUUCAGCAACGGAUCUCUUGGCUCUCGCAUCGAUGAAGAACGCAGCGAAAUGCGAUAAGUAAUGUGAAUUGCAGAAUUCAGUGAAUCAUCGAAUCUUUGAACGCACCUUGCGCUCCUUGGUAUUCCGAGGAGCAUGCCUGUUUGAGUGUCAUUAAAUUCUCAACCCCCUCCAGUUGUAAUAACUUGGAUUGGGGCUUGGAUGUGGGAGUUUGCGGGUCCUUUAUGAAUAAGGUCAGCUCUCCUGAAAUACAUUAGCGGAACCGUUUGCAGUCCCGGUCACUAGUGUGAUAAAUUAUCUACACUGUGAAUAGAUUGCUCUCUGACUAGUUCAGCUGCUAAUUGGUCCGGUAUGGACAAUGGGAUUUAAUUGAACUUGUUGACCUCAAAUCAGGUAGGACUACCCGCUGAACUU
This 680-nucleotide ribosomal RNA is filed under the name uncultured Morganella. Its description in RNAcentral is "eukaryotic LSU rRNA". The stretch from base 266 to 419 matches the Rfam family "5.8S ribosomal RNA". The record is from RNAcentral. Lineage: Eukaryota; Fungi; Basidiomycota; Agaricomycetes; Agaricales; Lycoperdaceae.